CUAGCCUAAACCUGCCUGUCUAUCUGUGCUCACUGCUCAGUGACGUGUGGAGUCACUCAGGGGAGGGGGAUACCUGGCACCUGACCGCAUGACUGUCUGACACUGGAGCCACGUUUGAAGCCCACCAGACCGAAGAUGCUGGAUACGCCUGUGGUAGCUGGUUACUUGCACAACUUGCAAACCCAUCUACGCCAUUUCAAAUACACUACAAAGAGGCUCACAGCAAAGCAAGAUCCAGAUCAUCAAAAAGACAUUUAACAUUCUAUAAAGUCUUUAUAGGUGCCUGAAUAAAACAGGAGGAACACUGAAGUAAAUGCCAAAAAGUGGCUGAUACUGUCUCCUCAUAAUACAGCAAUUCAACACAAUCUUGAAACCAUAAAUGUAGAUUUGUUAUCUGAUGAAAUUAUUAAUAAUUUUACAAUUCAGUGGAAAUAAUGAUAACAGCAGAGAAAUCAUAUUAUUAACCCCUUAAUGACCAUGUACGUCGCCAGUCAUUCAGGGUUUUCUUGUUAUAAUAGCGUGGGGCCCCACUAUUAUACCCUCCAUCCUCUCUUCUGGUCACCAGAAAUAGCGCUGGUAGCGAGACAUAUGCUACGAGAAAAAAAAACAAAGCGUGGAGCCACAGUGGGAAGGACGGAGUGAUAUAGUGUAAGUUAUUGUCACCACUCACCUCCCUAUAGCGCUGCUAUUACAGGUUUUCAUAAACCCGGCGUUAGCAGGCAAUAAGUGAGCGUUGAGCAAAAUUGAGCUCCAUACCGCACUCCAUUACCAGCGCUGCUUUGAGCUGGUUUUACAUGCUUGUGCACGAUUUCCCCAUAGACAUCAAUGGGGAGAGCCGGCUGAAAAAAAGCGUAACACCUGCAAUAAAGCAUCUUAAAGCCCUGUAAUGCAGCCCCAUUGAUUCCUAUGGGGAAAGAAAAGUUAUGUUUACACUUAACACCCUAACAUAAACCCUGAGUCUAAACACCCCUAAUCUGCCGCCCCUGACAUUGGUGACACCUACAUUACACUUAUUAACCCCUAAUUUGCCACCCCUAACAUCGCCGCCACCUACCUACACUUAUUAACCCCUAAUCUGCCGACCCUAAUGUUGCCGCCACCUACAUUACACUUAUUAACCCCUAAUCUGCCGCCCCUAACAUCGCCGACACCUACCUACAUUUAUUAACCCCUAAUCUUCCGCCCCCAACGUCGCCGCCACUAUAGUAAAGUUAUUAACCCCUAACCCUAACACCCACUAUCUUUAAUGUAAUUAAAAUAAAUCUAAAUAUAAAACCUACUAUUAAUAACUAAAUAAUUCCUAUUUAAAACUAAAUACUUACCUGUAAAAUAAACCCUAAGCUAGCUACAAUAUAACUAAUAGUUACAUUGUAUCUAUCUUAGGUUUUAUUUUGUAUUUCACAGCUAAGUUUGUAUUUAUUUUAACUAGGUAGACUGGUUAGUAAAUAGUUAUUAACUAUUUAAUAACUACCUAGCUAAAAUAAAUACAAAUUUACCUGUAAAAUAAAACCUAACCUGAGUUACACUAAAAACCUAACCUUACACUACAAUUAAAUCAAUGACAUUUAUUAAAUACAAUUAACUAAAUUACACAAAAUAAAAAAGAAAUUAUCAAAUAUUUAAACUAAUUACACCUAAUCUAAUAGCCCUAUCAAAAUAAAAAAGCCCCCCCAAAAUAAAAAAAAACCUAGGCUAAACUAAACUGCCAAUAGCCCUUUAAAGGGCCUUUUGCGGGGCAUUGCCCCAAAGAAAUCAGCUCUUUUACCUGUAAAAAAAAAUACAAACACCCCCAACAGUAAAACCCACCACCCACACAACCAAACUCCCCAAAUAAAAACCUACCUAAAAAACCUAAGCUCCCCAUUGCCCUGAAAAGGGCAUUUUGAUGGGCAUUGCCCUUAAAAGGGCAUUUAGGUCUUUUUCCGCCCAAACUCUAAGCUAAAAAUAAAACCAACCCAAUCCACUCUUCUCAUAACCCUCCCCCCACACACUCUCUCUCCAACUCUCUCCCUCUGUCAUUCUUUCACCAAACCAUUUCUUCCCCCACUCAUCCUCUUACCUACUCUAAUACUAGAUCUUACUCUCCCUUUAUCACUAUAUCUCACUCUCUAUUACACUCUCUCCUUUUUACUGAGAUCUAUGGAACAAAUGUUUGUACAUGUGUAUAUUUAAUGACUUAUGGUUGUGAUAAUGAGGUUUAUUUCAUAUACCCAAUGUUUUAAUUAAGAAUAUUCCGUUAUUCCGUUUGAAUAGUCAGUCCUGCCCCUAUCCAUUACGUCACUUUGUAACUUUCCCAUUGGCCAAUCCAGGUACACUACACCUGUGCACUCAGGUGUAUUUAAAGGGUGAUUUUUCCACUGAAUAUUAGUGUCCAUGACUAAGGCAAUGUUCUGCCGAAACGCGUAGGACUUGUGUAUCUUUUGUCCUGGAUUGAUCUAUGUUUUGUUUUACCUCUUUUUAUUUCUCCAACAUCGCUUUGAAUAAAAGUAUAUACGCUUAGAA
Molecule: long non-coding RNA, 2502 nt
Organism: Bombina bombina (fire-bellied toad)
Lineage: Eukaryota; Metazoa; Chordata; Amphibia; Anura; Bombinatoridae
Exons: 2
Source: RefSeq, a predicted model, not a curated record